GGUGGACAGGUGCUGCAUGGCUGUCGUCAGCUCGUGUCGUGAGAUGUUGGUUAAGUCCCGCAACGAGCGCAACCCCUAUCUUUAGUUGCCAUCAUUGAGUUGGGCACUCUAAAGAGACUGCCGGUGUCAAACCCGGAGGAAGGUGGGGAUGACGUCAAGUCCUCAUGGCCUUUAUGACCAGGGCUACACACGUACUACAAUGGCCGGUACAGAGGGCUGCGAAGCCGCGAGGUGGAGCGAAUCCCAGAAAACCUGUCUCAGUCCGGAUUGAAGUCUGCAACUCGACUUCAUGAAGGCGGAACCGCUAGUAACCGCGAAUCAGCAGGUCGCGGUGAAUACGUUCCCGGGCCUU
Molecule: ribosomal RNA, 352 nt
Filed under: uncultured Anaeromyxobacter sp.
Lineage: Bacteria; Pseudomonadati; Myxococcota; Myxococcia; Myxococcales; Anaeromyxobacteraceae
Description: bacterial SSU rRNA
Rfam family: Bacterial small subunit ribosomal RNA
Source: RNAcentral